AGAUAUCACUAAGGUAAAUCUUCAAGUUUCUAAUGCAUAUAAUCGUUAUAGAAAAGUCCACAUUAGUAACAAUUUGGUUAAUAAAAUUGUGACGCAUUUAAAGAAAAUAUACCUGUGAAAUGGAGGAAAGUCAUCCCUGCUUUGCAUUUCCCCGGACUUAUUAUCCCUUUACCUUUUUCAAGUACUUCCAUAUGAUGUCAUUUUUUACGCGCGGCUUAGGCCUAACUUUAAUAUACUUUUCCACGGCAGCUCACAAAAGCGCCUUGUGACUCUCUUAGGCCAUUUUAUUUUCGAAGGAAUGUAGAAAACUCCACUUCCAAACAUGAUGCAGAGAAGAAAGAGAUAAAAAUCCGUAAGGCGAAACAGAAUUUUAUAUAUUUGAAGUACAUGAAACUUUUGAACUUAAGCAGCGAUUUCUUCGACAAAUAAAUAUUGUUUGUUUCCAGUU
Dendroctonus ponderosae (mountain pine beetle) is the source of this 448-nucleotide long non-coding RNA. RefSeq lists it as uncharacterized. The record is from RefSeq and is a predicted model, not a curated record. Lineage: Eukaryota; Metazoa; Arthropoda; Insecta; Coleoptera; Curculionidae. The transcript is spliced from 2 exons.